UGGCUCAGAACGAACGCUGGUAGCGUGGAUUAGGCAUGCAAGUCGGACGGGAUCCGGGAGGUAGCAAUACGUCCUGGUGAGAGUGGCGGAUUGGGGAGGAACACGUGAGCAACCUGCCUUUGAGUCGGGGAAAACCGUUGGAAACGACGGCUAAUACCGGAUGUGGCGCCCGGUGACAUCACUGGAGCGCUAAAGGGGGCCGCAAGGCUCUCGCUCGUAGAGGGGCUCGCGCACCAUCAGCUUGUUGGCGGGUAACGGCCCACCAAGGCCUACGGUUAGCUGGUCUGAGAGGAUGACCAGCCCCACUGGGACUGAGAUACUGCCCAGACUCCUACGGGAGGCUGCAGUCGAGGAUCAUUUGCAAUGGGCGAAAGCCUGACAAUGCGACGCUGCGUGGAGGAAUGAAGGCCUUCGGGUUGUAAACUCCUGUCAUGGGGGAACAGGCGAGGGGACCCAACACGUCCCUUAGUUGAGUGUACCCCAAGAGGAAGCGACGGCUAACUCUGUGCCAGCAGCUGC
RNAcentral lists this ribosomal RNA (519 nucleotides) under uncultured bacterium. RNAcentral's name for it is "bacterial SSU rRNA". It matches the Rfam family "Bacterial small subunit ribosomal RNA", at positions 20 to 518 of the family's 1533-position model. The record is from RNAcentral.